Molecule: long non-coding RNA, 2131 nt
Organism: Hevea brasiliensis (rubber tree)
Lineage: Eukaryota; Viridiplantae; Streptophyta; Magnoliopsida; Malpighiales; Euphorbiaceae
Exons: 3
Source: RefSeq, a predicted model, not a curated record
AAGUUUGGGUGAUUUUUAUAUUACCUGCCAUUUGCCAUCCCUAAUUGAGGUCAUCGGGCGUUUUAAAAAGGAGUUAAUAGAAGACCAAACGUCAGGGUGAUCCUCUAAUAUUCGCACCCUGCUCAGUCCCGCCUCAGCUGGCAGCAGAAAUGACCGAAGCUAAUCGGCAAAGCUUUCGUGAGACAAGGGUCGCAGUUUUGUGGCAAAUGUUCACUCCAAAAAGUUUAUCUAUGAAAAUUUCUUUGCCCGCAUGCAUUCUGCAGUAGAAAUGCCUUCUUGAAAGCAGAAACUCUCUGUGAAGGAACUGCCAAAGUAUGCUCUGCAGCGGAAAGAUUUUGGUGUUUUCACUUUUCACCAAUGUACUUUGGACCUGGCAUGAGCUUGCGUCUGAAAGGACGAUGAUCCAACACCCCUUCCCUGCAAAUAUGGUGAGAGAACUUUUUAAGUUGUAUGAAGUGGCCACUUUUCACUGUAGAUAUAAACUGUUGAUUGUGGUAAUGUUUCUACCCAAGGUGAAAAAUUGUCUCAGGGAAGUGGCACAAUAUGCUUCAGUAUAUAAUGAUGUUACAUGUGGCUACCAUAUGAAUCUCACACGCGCAUUAAACAAGGUGAUAUCGUUCGCUAGAUCUGCCAUAUACAACCUAUGAUCUAGUGUAAGGGUCUAGGUAUGGCUAAGAAUAAACUUUGGUAAAUGAUUGUCAUUAUCAAUUUUCUCACAGAUUUAAGAUGGCAAAAGUGGCAGUAAUCAGGAGCGUAGCUUUCUAUUGCAUCUCUUCUGCUUGUUUUAUUGGGGCUUUUUACUUCUUUUUUAGUUACAAGUUUGUCUCUUUUCCAUUCAUCAUUGAUGUGUGCUUGCAUUUUCCAUGUAAAAUGUGUUAUAGCAUGACAAAGGAAGACAUUUUUUUUUUCUUUUAAUCAAAGACAAAGGAAGACAUUGGCUUACAUGGAAACUUAAACUCAACAGUUGUUUGCCAAACAAACUUAGGAUAAGAUGGGGUUCAGAUAUAGGGCAAAACAAGAAUUUAAUCUUGUCUUUUAUCAAGAAUUCUUUGUGUCUUAGGAAGAUUGAGGUUCAGCAGUCGUUAGAAUUGAAAACCACAAAAAAAAGUGCAGCUCUGUUCCAAUCUGCACCUGCCUGAUUGAUUACUGUGGUUUAGAAAUUGAAAGAGAUAAGUACUUUACUUGGUCUCUGCACGUACGGCUCUUUACCCUUGAGUUUAAUUUCCAGUAGAACAGUACGAAUAUAAUGAUUGAAAAUGAAGUUACUUGUUUGGUUGAUAUGAAAUGUCCUCGUACUGAAGUUGUCAGGUUUAAUUUAAAAAGGUAGAAGCAUCUUCCUCUGUACAGUGAGAGAGAGUGCAAUUUCACGUGCCAAUAUAAAAACUUGGAAUGAUGAAAUGCUUGUAUUCCUGCUUGAUGUGAAACUAGUUGAACUUCAUAGGUCUAACAUUUCCAUGUCUUUGUUAAUUCAUAAGAUUAGAAGAAGAAUAGUCUAAGGGGUCACAUAUUUUUCAAUUUCAUACCUUGGCUGGGCAUUUACGUUAUACCAUUAUAAUUUCUAGGAAGCUACAAGGAGUGGAAAAAAAAAAAAAACUAAAUACAAGUAAUUCUAAUUCAUGAAUCUGGAAAUUGGGUGUGUUUUAUAUUAAUCUGUAGUAGUUGUAGCAGCAGCAGCCGACUUAACAGUAGCAUAGGACAAGGCAUUCAAAAAUUGUUAUUCAUGUCAUCGUUAUUAUAGAUGUAGCAAGUCUUUCCCUGAAGUCGUGGUUCCACUCUUCUAAGUCUUCGAGCAUGUCCCCUGUUUUAUUUUCUCAUCCGUGACUACAAAACAGAACAAGUCAAAAUGAUAAUUCAAAGUUGAUGUGGUAUUCGAUCGGUGUGUGUAAAGGAUUGACCCAUAAUUCAGUCCAAUUCACAAGGUUCAUAGUGCGAUGGCUAUUCAGGACCCACUCCAUUGAGGGCGACUCCUGCCAACUGAAGAAUCAGAGUUGUCGCCUACACUCUUUAAAAUGUCUUCAAACUCAGAUUUUGCUUUUUACUUACUUUUCAUUUGUUAUAUUAAUACUAUUUUUAAUCCUAAUGCUUAUAUGUUAUUUAGAUUAAAAUAUUAAUAAAUGAAAUUCAAACUUUA